GACGAACGCUGGCGGCGUGCCUAAUACAUGCAAGUAGGACGCACAGUCUAUACCGUAGCUUGCUACACCAUAGACUGUGAGUUGCGAACGGGUGAGUAACGCGUAGGUAACCUGCCUAUUAGAGGGGGAUAACUAUUGGAAACGAUAGCUAAUACCGCAUAACAGUAUGUAACACAUGUUAGAUGCUUGAAAGAUGCAAUUGCAUCGCUAGUAGAUGGGCCUGCGUUGUGUUAGCUAGUAGGUAGGGUAAUGGCCUACCUAGGCGACGAUACAUAGCCGACCUGAGAGGGUGAUCGGCCACACUGGGACUGAGACACGGCCCAGACUCCUACGGGAGGCAGCAGUAGGGAAUCUUCGGCAAUGGGGGGAACCCUGACCGAGCAACGCCGCGUGAGUGAAGAAGGUUUUCGGAUCGUAAAGCUCUGUUGUUAAGGAAGAACGAGUGUGAGAAUGGAAAGUUCAUACUGUGACGGUACUUAACCAGAAAGGGACGGCUAACUACGUGCCAGCAGCCGCGGUAAUACGUAGGUCCCGAGCGUUGUCCGGAUUUAUUGGGCGUAAAGCGAGCGCAGGCGGUUAGAAAAGUCUGAAGUGAAAGGCAGUGGCUCAACCAUUGUAGGCUUUGGAAACUGUUUAACUUGAGUGCAGAAGGGGAGAGUGGAAUUCCAUGUGUAGCGGUGAAAUGCGUAGAUAUAUGGAGGAACACCGGUGGCGAAAGCGGCUCUCUGGUCUGUAACUGACGCUGAGGCUCGAAAGCGUGGGGAGCGAACAGG
Molecule: ribosomal RNA, 773 nt
Filed under: Streptococcus anginosus
Lineage: Bacteria; Bacillati; Bacillota; Bacilli; Lactobacillales; Streptococcaceae
Description: bacterial SSU rRNA
Rfam family: Bacterial small subunit ribosomal RNA
Source: RNAcentral